This 93-nucleotide transfer RNA is filed under the name Gammaproteobacteria bacterium. Its description in RNAcentral is "tRNA-Ser". It matches the Rfam family "tRNA". Rfam says of the family: Transfer RNA (tRNA) molecules are approximately 80 nucleotides in length. Their secondary structure includes four short double-helical elements and three loops (D, anti-codon, and T loops). RNAcentral also lists the same sequence under 1 other name. The record is from RNAcentral. Lineage: Bacteria; Pseudomonadati; Pseudomonadota; Gammaproteobacteria.
GGAGAGGUACCGAAGCGGUCACAACGGCACCGACUCGAAAUCGGUUGGGGGCUUUGCCGCCCCACGUGGGUUCGAAUCCCACCCUCUCCGCCA